CCUACGGGAGGCAGCAGUGGGGAAUAUUGCACAAUGGGGGAAACUCUGAUGCAGCGACGCCGCGUGAGUGAAGAAGUAUUUCGGUAUGUAAAGCUCUAUCAGCAGGGAAGAAAAUGACGGUACCUGAUUAAGAAGCCCCGUCUAACUACGUGCCAGCAGCCGCGGUAAUACGUAGGGGGCAAGCGUGAUCCGGAUUUACUGGGUGUAAAGGGAGCGUAGACGGCAGCACAAGUCUGGAGUGAAAUGCCGGGGCUUAACCCCGGAACUGCUUUGGAAACUGUGCAGCUAGAGUGCAGGAGAGGUAAGUGGAAUUCCUGGUGUAGCGGUGAAAUGCGUAGAGAUUAGGAGGAACACCAGUGGCGAAGGCGGCUUACUGGACUGUAACUGACGUUGAGGCUCGAAAGCGUGGGGAGCAAACAGGAUUAGAUACCCCUGUAGUC
Molecule: ribosomal RNA, 440 nt
Filed under: uncultured bacterium
Lineage: Bacteria
Description: partial 16S ribosomal RNA
Rfam family: Bacterial small subunit ribosomal RNA
Source: RNAcentral